CCCCAAGGUCCACAGGACCAAGCGCCCUCCUGUUUAAUGGCUGUUUCCCCUUCUCUUCACAGGUGGUGUCGCGGCAGAGACACAGCCCCUGUAUGUCAACAUACCCUUCAGGGCCGGCACAGCUCUGCAGCAAUGGAGCCGUGAUGGGCAGCUCCAGAUGGUGACCCACAACCAGCCAGCGCAGCCCAACAACCCUGGAGGGAAGCCCGGAGUGGAUCAAAACCCCCAGGAAGGGGUCAAGAGAGAAGAGGAUGCAGAUGCCAGGGUGAGCAAUCCUGUCUAUUCCAUGGUGACUCCCUCUAGCACCGUGGCCCAGAAGAGAGGAGGAAAAUAUAUCUCUGAGGAUGUGGUGUACAGUGAAAUCUCCUACUGAUCAUGGCCUCUGCCACCACCCACUCCCCAUCCCACCCCGCUGAGAAUACCUUUCGUAAUGCCCCAUCCCCCAGACUUUCCCUUCUCUGCAAAACCUGCUAAUGGCCACAAACUUCUUCCUGGUGUACUCUGAAUGCAAGGGAGUGGGGGGCUGGCAGCCAGGACUCCUGGGUCCUAUCCCAUCUCUGGGAGGGGAGUGGGGUUAGUGGGUUCGAGCAGGGGAUGGGGCUGGGACCCAGGCUCUGUGAAGGGAGUGGGUUAGAGCAGGGAGAGCAGUAAUUCCUAACGCUUGGGUUAGUUUCAGCACACGGGUUAGAGGAGGGAGUUUGGGUUUUAAUCUGUCAAAGAGAAGCGGUUGCAGAACUAUGUGAAAUAGUCCAGAGGGGCCCCUACCCCAUUUCUGCUCCAAUGCACAUUGCACCCUCUUGUGGGAAACCUUCUCUUACAAUGGGACCCCCCUGGAUAUUAUUACUCCUGUUCCUUCACCGUGGAGUUCUG
Mauremys mutica (yellowpond turtle) is the source of this 870-nucleotide long non-coding RNA. RefSeq lists it as uncharacterized. NCBI's taxonomy places the organism in Eukaryota, Metazoa, Chordata, Testudines, Geoemydidae. The record is from RefSeq and is a predicted model, not a curated record. The transcript has 4 exons.